UACGAAGGGGGCUAGCGUUGCUCGGAAUUACUGGGCGUAAAGCGCACGUAGGCGGAUUGCUAAGUCAGGGGUGAAAUCCUGGAGCUCAACUCCAGAACUGCCUUUGAUACUGGCGAUCUUGAGUCCGGGAGAGGUGAGUGGAACUGCGAGUGUAGAGGUGAAAUUCGUAGAUAUUCGCAAGAACACCAGUGGCGAAGGCGGCUCACUGGCCCGGUACUGACGCUGAGGUGCGAAAGCGUGGGGAGCAAACAGG
RNAcentral lists this ribosomal RNA (253 nucleotides) under uncultured bacterium. RNAcentral's name for it is "partial 16S ribosomal RNA". It matches the Rfam family "Bacterial small subunit ribosomal RNA", at positions 524 to 776 of the family's 1533-position model. The record is from RNAcentral.